AUUGAACGCUGGCGGCAUGCCUUACACAUGCAAGUCGAACGGCAGCACGGGAGCAAUCCUGGUGGCGAGUGGCGAACGGGUGAGUAAUGUAUCGGAACGUGCCCAGUCGUGGGGGAUAACGUAGCGAAAGCUACGCUAAUACCGCAUACGAUCUAUGGAUGAAAGCGGGGGAUCGCAAGACCUCGCGCGAUUGGAGCGGCGGAUAUCAGAUUAGGUAGGUGGUGGGGUGAAGACUCACCAAGCCGACGAUGUGUAGCUGGUCUGAGAGGACGACCAGCCACCAGGGGAAUGAGACACGGCCGCGACUCAUCCGGGAGGAAGAAGUGGGGAAUUUGGGACAAUGGGCGCAAGCCUGAUCCAGCAAGGCCGCGUGCAGGAUGAAGGCCUUCGGGUUGUAAACUGCUUGUGUACGGAACGAAACGGCGAGCUCUAAUACAGUUUGCUAAUGACGGUACCGUAAGAAUAAGCACCGGCUAACUACGUGCCAGCAGCCGCCGUAA
This 500-nucleotide ribosomal RNA is filed under the name uncultured bacterium. RNAcentral describes it as "partial 16S ribosomal RNA". It matches the Rfam family "Bacterial small subunit ribosomal RNA", at positions 29 to 523 of the family's 1533-position model. The record is from RNAcentral.